CGGGUGGUAAUGCCGGAUGCUCCAGUUGGAUGCAUGUCCUUCUGGGAAAGAUUCAUCGGUAUGGGAUGGGGUCGCGUCCUAUCAGCUUGAUGGCGGGGUAACGGCCCACCAUGGCUUCGACGGGUAGCCGGCCUGAGAGGGCGACCGGCCACAUUGGGACUGAGAUACGGCCCAGACUCCUACGGGAGGCAGCAGUGGGGAAUAUUGCACAAUGGGCGCAAGCCUGAUGCAGCGACGCCGCGUGCGGGAUGACGGCCUUCGGGUUGUAAACCGCUUUUGACUGGGAGCAAGCCCUUCGGGGUGAGUGUACCUUUCGAAUAAGCACCGGCUAACUACGUGCCAGCAGCCGCGGUAAUACGUAGGGUGCAAGCGUUAUCCGGAAUUAUUGGGCGUAAAGGGCUCGUAGGCGGUUCGUCGCGUCCGGUGUGAAAGUCCAUCGCUUAACGGUGGAUCCGCGCCGGGUACGGGCGGGCUUGAGUGCGGUAGGGGAGACUGGAAUUCCCGGUGUAACGGUGGAAUGUGUAGAUAUCGG
This 532-nucleotide ribosomal RNA is filed under the name Bifidobacterium adolescentis. RNAcentral describes it as "bacterial SSU rRNA". It matches the Rfam family "Bacterial small subunit ribosomal RNA", at positions 157 to 700 of the family's 1533-position model. The record is from RNAcentral. Lineage: Bacteria; Bacillati; Actinomycetota; Actinomycetes; Bifidobacteriales; Bifidobacteriaceae.